UUGUUGUUGUUUUGUUUUGAGACAAGGAAUUAUAUAUCCCAGGCUGGUCUCAAGUUUGUUGCAUAGCUAAGAAGAACCUUGACUUUCUGAUCUGCAAACCUCCACUUCUUGUGUGCUGGGGUUGCAGGAUCUCACCCUGUAGCCCGGCCUGCUUAGGAAUCUGAGAUGUUUACUCUGCCCCAGUCUCUCAAGUGCAGAAGGCAACCCCUGUGACCUCUUUUCACAAUUUAACCCCAUUGUUAUAACUGUAGGAGAGGGUCAGGAGUCUCCAGGACAUGACGGACAGAAGCCCCAUACAUACACUAGAAGCCUACAGAAGAGUCUUCCUUUCUUCAACUGUAAAAUGAGAUGGGUGAUCCCACUGACCUGAGAGGUUGCUGGGAAGAGAUUCCAUGAGAAAAACACAAGAUGUAUACAAUUUACCAGAGGGAUGGAUGUGGUGGUGUGGGUCAAGAGUCCCAGCUACU
Rattus rattus (black rat) is the source of this 467-nucleotide long non-coding RNA. RefSeq lists it as uncharacterized. The record is from RefSeq and is a predicted model, not a curated record. The transcript is spliced from 3 exons. Lineage: Eukaryota; Metazoa; Chordata; Mammalia; Rodentia; Muridae.